UACGUGGGAUGCAAGCGUUGUCCGGAAUUACUGGGCGUAAAGAGCGCGUAGGCGGCGUGGUACGACCAUUGUGAAAGCCCCCGGCUCAACUGGGGAGGGUCAGUGGUAACGGCCAUGCUACGAGUGCAGGAGAGGGACGUGGAACUCCGGGAGUAGCGGUGAAAUGCGUAGAGACCCGGAGGAACACCAGUGGCGAAGGCGGCGUCCUGGCCUGCGACUGACGCUGUGGCGCGAAAGCUAGGGGAGCAAACGGG
This 254-nucleotide ribosomal RNA is filed under the name uncultured bacterium. Its description in RNAcentral is "partial 16S ribosomal RNA". It matches the Rfam family "Bacterial small subunit ribosomal RNA", at positions 524 to 776 of the family's 1533-position model. The record is from RNAcentral.